Molecule: ribosomal RNA, 253 nt
Filed under: uncultured bacterium
Lineage: Bacteria
Description: partial 16S ribosomal RNA
Rfam family: Bacterial small subunit ribosomal RNA
Source: RNAcentral
GACAGAGGUGGCAAGCGUUGUUCGGAUUCAUUGGGUGUAAAGGGCAGGUAGGUGGUUUUAUAAGUCCGGCGUGAAAUCCCAGAGCUCAACUCUGGAACUGCGUUGGAAACUAUAUGACUUGAGUAUCGGAGAGGUUAGGGGAAUUCUCGGUGUAAGGGUGAAAUGUGUAGAGAUCGGGAGGAACACCAGUGGCGAAGGCGCCUAACUGGCCGAUUACUGACACUGAGAUGCGAAAGCGAGGGGAGCAAACAGG